GAUGAACGCUAGCUACAGGCUUAACACAUGCAAGUCGAGGGGAAACGACAUCGAAAGCUUGCUUUUGAUGGGCGUCGACCGGCGCACGGGUGAGUAACGCGUAUCCAACCUGCCCAUCACUUGGGAAUAACCUUGCGAAAGUAAGACUAAUACCCAAUGAUAUCCCACGAAGGCAUCGGAAUGGGAUUAAAGAUUUAUCGGUGAUGGAUGGGGAUGCGUCUGAUUAGCUUGUUGGCGGGGUAACGGCCCACCAAGGCAACGAUCAGUAGGGGUUCUGAGAGGAAGGUCCCCCACAUUGGAACUGAGACACGGUCCAAACUCCUACGGGAGGCAGCAGUGAGGAAUAUUGGUCAAUGGGCGAGAGCCUGAUCCAGCCAAGUAGCGUGCAGGAAGACGGCCCUAUGGGUUGUAAACUGCUUUUAUAAGGGAAUAAAGUGGGUCACGUGUGACUUUUUGCAUGUACCUUAUGAAUAAGGACCGGCUAAUUCCGUG
RNAcentral lists this ribosomal RNA (492 nucleotides) under uncultured bacterium. RNAcentral describes it as "partial 16S ribosomal RNA". It matches the Rfam family "Bacterial small subunit ribosomal RNA", at positions 28 to 507 of the family's 1533-position model. The record is from RNAcentral.